CCUACGGGAGGCAGCAGUGGGGAAUAUUGCACAAUGGGGGAAACUCUGAUGCAGCGACGCCGCGUGAGUGAGGAAGUAUUUCGGUAUGUAAAGCUCUAUCAGCAGGGAAGAAAAUGACGGUACCUGACUAAGAAGCCCCGGCUAACUACGUGCCAGCAGCCGCGGUAAUACGUAGGGGGCAAGCGUUAUCCGGAUUUACUGGGUGUAAAGGGAGCGUAGAAGGAAUAGCAAGUCUGAUGUGAAAACCCGGGGCUCAACUCUGGGAGUUGAUUGGAAACUGUUUAUCUAGAGUGUCGGAGAGGCAAGCGGAAUUCCUUGUGUCGCGGUGAACUGCGUAGAUAUUCGGCGGCACACCAG
Molecule: ribosomal RNA, 357 nt
Filed under: uncultured bacterium
Lineage: Bacteria
Description: partial 16S ribosomal RNA
Rfam family: Bacterial small subunit ribosomal RNA
Source: RNAcentral